AGUGAGGAAGGGGGUGACACAGUGACAGAGUGAGGGAGGGGGUGACUAGUGACAGAGUGAAGGAGGUGGUGACUGUCACUAGUCACCCCCUUCCCUCCCUCACUCUGUCACUAGUCACCCCUUCCUCACUAGUCACCCCUUCCCUCCCUAACUCUGUCACUAGUCACCACUUCCCUCCCUCACUCUGUCACUAGUCACCCCCUCCCUCAUU
Pelobates cultripes (western spadefoot toad) is the source of this 211-nucleotide non-coding RNA. Lineage: Eukaryota; Metazoa; Chordata; Amphibia; Anura; Pelobatidae. The record is from the annotation of a GenBank genome assembly.